AUAACUAUUGGAAACGAUAGCUAAUACCGCAUAAUCUCUUCGGAGCAAAGAGGGGGACCUUCGGGCCUCUCGCGUCAGGAUUAGCCCAGGUGGGAUUAGCUAGUUGGUGGGGUAAUGGCUCACCAAGGCGACGAUCCCUAGCUGGUCUGAGAGGAUGAUCAGCCACACUGGAACUGAGACACGGUCCAGACUCCUACGGGAGGCAGCAGUGGGGAAUAUUGCACAAUGGGGGAAACCCUGAUGCAGCCAUGCCGCGUGUAUGAAGAAGGCCUCGGGUUGUAAAGUACUUUCAGUUGUGAGGAAGGCAGUUAAGUUAAUAGCUUAGUUGUUUGACGUUAGCAACAGAAGAAGCACCGGCUAACUCCGUGCCAGCAGCCGCGGUAAUACGGAGGGUGCGAGCGUUAAUCGGAAUUACUGGGCGUAAAGCGCAUGCAGGCGGUCUGUUAAGCAAGAUGUGAAAGCCCGGGGCUCAACCUCGGAACAGCAUUUUGAACUGGCAGACUAGAGUCUUGUAGAGGGGGGUAGAAUUUCAGGUGUAGCGGUGAAAUGCGUAGAGAUCUGAAGGAAUACCGGUGGCGAAGGCGG
This 585-nucleotide ribosomal RNA is filed under the name Photobacterium aquimaris. Its description in RNAcentral is "bacterial SSU rRNA". It matches the Rfam family "Bacterial small subunit ribosomal RNA", at positions 143 to 724 of the family's 1533-position model. Lineage: Bacteria; Pseudomonadati; Pseudomonadota; Gammaproteobacteria; Vibrionales; Vibrionaceae. The record is from RNAcentral.